GGUAACGGCUACCGUAGAGAUUGAUCGUGGAUCAGGAACUCGUAACAAGGUAACCGUAAGAGGUGAAAGUGGCGGAGGGGUGAGUAAUGUCGGGGAAACUGCCUGAUGGAGGGGGAUAACUACUGGAAACGGUAGCUAAUACCGCAUAACGUCUUCGGACCAAAGUGGGGGACCUUCGGGCCUCACGCCAUCAGAUGUGCCCAGAUGGGAUUAGCUAGUAGGUGGGGUAAUGGCUCACCUAGGCGACGAUCCCUAGCUGGUCUGAGAGGAUGACCAGCCACACUGGAACUGAGACACGGUCCAGACUCCUACGGGAGGCAGCAGUGGGGAAUAUUGCACAAUGGGCGCAAGCCUGAUGCAGCCAUGCCGCGUGUGUGAAGAAGGCCUUCGGGUUGUAAAGCACUUUCAGCGAGGAGGAAGGGUUCAGUGUUAAUAGCACUGUUCAUUGACGUUACUCGCAGAAGAAGCACCGGCUAACUCCGUGCCAGCAGCCGCGGUAAUACGGAGGGUGCAAGCGUUAAUCGGAAUUACUGGGCGUAAAGCGCACGCAGGCGGUUUGUUAAGUCAGAUGUGAAAUCCCCGCGCUUAACGUGGGAACUGCAUUUGAAACUGGCAAGCUAGAGUCUUGUAGAGGGGGGUAGAAUUCCAGGUGUAGCGGUGAAAUGCGUAGAGAUCUGGAGGAAUACCGGUGGCGAAGGCGGCCCCCUGGACAAAGACUGACGCUCAGGUGCGAAAGCGUGGGGAGCAAACAGGAUUAGAUACCCUGGUAGUCCACGCUGUAAACGAUGUCGACUUGGAGGUUGUGCCCUUGAGGCGUGGCUUCCGGAGCUAACGCGUUAAGUCGACCGCCUGGGGAGUACGGCCGCAAGGUUAAAACUCAGAUGAAUUGACGGGGGCCCGCACAAGCGGUGGAGCAUGUGGUUUAAUUCGAUGCAACGCGAAGAACCUUACCUACUCUUGACAUCCAGAGAAUUCGCUAGAGAUAGCUUAGUGCCUUCGGGAACUCUGAGACAGGUGCUGCAUGGCUGUCGUCAGCUCGUGUUGUGAAAUGUUGGGUUAAGUCCCGCAACGAGCGCAACCCUUAUCCUUUGUUGCA
This 1096-nucleotide ribosomal RNA is filed under the name Rahnella victoriana. Its description in RNAcentral is "bacterial SSU rRNA". It matches the Rfam family "Bacterial small subunit ribosomal RNA", at positions 1 to 1119 of the family's 1533-position model. Lineage: Bacteria; Pseudomonadati; Pseudomonadota; Gammaproteobacteria; Enterobacterales; Yersiniaceae. The record is from RNAcentral.